This 32-nucleotide ribosomal RNA is filed under the name Gyrodactylus turnbulli. RNAcentral's name for it is "partial 16S ribosomal RNA". The record is from RNAcentral. Lineage: Eukaryota; Metazoa; Platyhelminthes; Monogenea; Gyrodactylidea; Gyrodactylidae.
UUAUAGUAUAAUCAAAUAAGGUUUAAUUUCUA